Lolium rigidum is the source of this 3350-nucleotide long non-coding RNA. RefSeq lists it as uncharacterized. The record is from RefSeq and is a predicted model, not a curated record. Lineage: Eukaryota; Viridiplantae; Streptophyta; Magnoliopsida; Poales; Poaceae. The transcript is spliced from 2 exons.
CUUCCACGCCGUGUCUGUUUCUCUAUUCACUGAAAGAGGAAGAGCUAGGGGAGGUCGGAGAAAACGCUGAGGAGACCGACGGAUCGAGGAGGCCGGGGAAGCUGCCGGCACCGGCGGGCAGGGUACGUCACCAGUUUGCCGAUAGUUCGCCUUCCUCAGUUCCCGACAAGCUUUUUCUGCUCGGCACCAUGGUCGCUCCGUGUUUUUGGAGCUUUUGAUAAUAUGCGGGGAGGUUUGAUUUUGGGGAUCCAGAUCUGUGAGAACGUAGGGGGGUUGAUUCUGGGCGUCAGAUUUCUUAUUUUGCGAGGUGCGAGGUGAGCGGGGUGUGUUUUGGCUGAAAUUUCCCCAUUUAUUAUGGUUACCAGGAUGAGAUAAUUUGCAGUCCCACUCUUAGCUACCUUUUGAGCACAUGAGUAGGUCAAAUCCAGGUUUGCGAGUCACAUAUUAAGGGGAUUUCCGUAUGUUUCGCAUGUGAUUUUUGUGCUGUUCUGCAAAGUGGAGAGACUCUGAUGGGUAAGUCAGUGCUACUUAAUUUCAUGUCACACGGAAUCACUUUAGUUCUUUAAUUCAUGGUUUAUUCUGUCUUGUUUCCCCAUGAACUGAACAUAAUUACUUAUUUGGCAUUGAGCAGUGAGCAAAUAUGUUCAUAUGUGAUACAGGGAUAUGCCAUCAGUGAGCAUAUGUUCCGAAGUUCUGAGAGUGCAUUGGAUGAUUUGGUUUGAACCAUUGCUUCAGUAUUUGCAUAUGAAGGUAAAUUUAAUCCCCUUAUGGUUAUUCAGUGUCCGACCAUGUCUAAUCCAGUGUUGAGAGCCACGAGCAAAACAACGCAUCAAGUGAGGAAGUACCAAAAUCUGAUUUUUAUCCAUCCGUUAGCUAUAAAUUUCCUCUAAAUUGUAGAAAAACCGGUGCUGUCAAGGAUUUUGAAGAGGAUCCUGCAGGUGCCCUUGGGGAUGUAUUCAAACUACCAGCAAUGCUGAGGAACACGGCGACGUAGUCCACUUAUCAUUUGUUGAAGCCUGCCAUGUACACUUGAGGCGUUAGCCUAUGACGUCUACGAGGAUCGUGUGGCGGGCAUCCACGCCCACUUGGAGUAAUGGGUUAUCAUGCCGGCGGGAGUUUCCUCUGUCACUAAGUUCUGUUUUCUCUUUGACCAGUCCUCAAUUAUCAUUCUUCAGCUUUCAUUUUCCUCAUUAUGCUCAGUUUCUUCAGUCCCUCAUUAUCAUUUGUUCAGUCAUACCAGUCACCAUUCUAGUAUCCCAUCCUCUCAGUUUACCUCUUAUUUCUUCAGUUUAGCCCAUUCUUGGUCUUAUUUGUUCAGUCAAUCUUCUCUUAGUAUUAUCAUUCUUAGUCUAUCAGUUUAGCAAAUAUUUGCUCAAUCUUCUUUCUUUAGUUUAUUGUGUAUUGUCAGUCUUGUUUGCUCAGCCAGUCUUCUAUCAGUCUUAUCUUCAGUUUUAAGUAUUCUUCAGAUAUUAGUCUUUCUAUAAAUUAUCAUUAACUCAGGCAUUCAGUUUUUCAGUCUUAGUCUUCGUUCUCAUUUUUUAGCUUUGAUUCUCUCAUAUUUUUGGAGUUUCGUUAUUUCCCUUCAUUCUUUGAUUCUCUAAGUUGUCUCAUUUUUGUUCAUUCCUCUUUGCUUAGUCCUUUCUUCUUCAGUUCAUCUAUGUCUCUUUCUUCAGUUCAUGUUUGUCUCUUUCAAGCUUUUUCUUCAUUCUUCAUUAUUUAUCUUCUCUCUUGGAUUCCUCUUUGCUCAGUCAUUCCUUCUCCAGUUCAUCUAUGUCAUUUUAUUACUUUCUGUUCUUUAUUUGCUCAAUCUUGCCUUCUUCAUUAUCUCAGUUUCUUUCUCCGUUUUAUGAUUAGUAUUUUCUGUUCACCGUGUGCUCCCUCGACUGCGCGGAAGAAGAUGAUGACAACCAUGGCCAUUUGUUAGUCAUCACCAUGGGUACUAGAAGCUAAUUCCAAGAGUUGCUGUACAACGCUGUAGAAGUUUGGACAUAACAGAAAAUGACGGGUAUGCCACACCACCCAGUUUUUUCCGGUGUAGAACUCUCACAUUCCAUUAGCUUUCGUCGGCAGAGUCGCUGAACAGAACACGAAUUACAGCAACAGGGGGUUAUCUAACCAAACCUGGUAAUAUUUUUGACCCCCACCUGCACCUAAUACGGCCAGCACAUGAGCUGCCUUGUUACAGUUUCGUGGUUCAUAAAUGAUCUCAUACUUGCUGAAACACGUACGUAGCUGGAACUUUGCCUCACAGAGCACCUAGUGGCGACAGGUCAUAUUUGUUGGACUUGAUGGCCAGCACGAGUACUUGAUAGCAAAGACAACCUGACCAAUUCCCAUCUGGUCAGCGAUCUGGAUAGCUUGCAGCAAGGCAUUCAGUUCAGAGAGGAGAGGUUCAGCAGCGUACUGAAGAUAACCGACAUCCAUGAAAAUGGUGUCACACUCAUUGUCUCUAGCGAUGGCACACCACCCAGUUUUACUAUGUGUGCCUAUUAGUGAUACUCAGUGCUAGGUAGAGCUAAUUCCAAAGUUGCAGUCUAUUAGUCACCUAAGGCUGUCUAUGCAUUCUAGAGUUGUAGUCUAUUUCUCAAUUUCUCUGCAUUGUAGUUUUUAGGUUAUCAUAUAGUCACCUUUUUUUGUUAGUGUAAAUCUGAUUCAGUGUGAGUAGUGAUCUUAGUAUUCAGUGCAAUUUUUAGUACAUGACUACCUGUAUUUUGCUCAUUAGGUACCCUAUUUUCAGAAAUGACUGCAGCCUUCUAUAUUUUUGUACUCAUCAGUGGUAAGAUGCUUGGCUAUGGGCUUUAUUUCACUUAAUCAUGAGGGUUUUUGUAUUUUUUUCAUAAUACUGUCGACCAUUUCUAUGCAGAUAAAAACAAUUAAUAGAGGGCUACAUUUCUAGAUCAAGAAUUAUGCAGAUAGAUGUACUGGCAAGGAGGUGUGCGGUGGUGAAAAACAUGUGCAGAGAGUGGAUGAGAUCCAGAAGUUUUUGUUGCACAUCUUUGGAUCUCUCUCUUUCUUUCCCCAAUGAUCCUCGUCUAGUUUCCCUGUUUUGGUGGCCGUCCUCUUUGGUUCCGGUGUAUUUGCGUGAGGAGAAAGAAGAGAGAUGUUGACGUGGUGGUAGUUCGUAGACAGGCCCAGAAAUAGGAGGCCCAUUUUUUUGUUGUUCGCAUGAACUUUCCUUUUUUUUCUAGUCCAUGUUUUUAAUUGCAAGGCGGGAAUUGAUUAAGUGAAAGGUAGUAGAGAUUGAAAUAACUGGACAGAAAACUGGACUCAAGUGUAAUGAAUGGAUUGGUUUUUUCCAACUCCCGGACUGAUUGGAAUGAGGAUGGAAGCGGGGAAAACUGAGUUAAUGA